GUGCCAGCAGCCGCGGUAAUACGUAGGGUGCGAGCGUUGUCCGGAAUUAUUGGGCGUAAAGAGCUCGUAGGCGGUUUGUUGCGUCGGCCGUGAAAACCUCAUGCUUAACGUGGGGCUUGCGGUCGAUACGGGCAGACUUGAGUUCGGCAGGGGAGACUGGAAUUCCUGGUGUAGCGGUGAAAUGCGCAGAUAUCAGGAGGAACACCGGUGGCGAAGGCGGGUCUCUGGGCCGAUACUGACGCUGAGGAGCGAAAGCGUGGGGAGCGAACAGGAUUAGAAACCCCGGUAGUCC
This 292-nucleotide ribosomal RNA is filed under the name uncultured bacterium. RNAcentral describes it as "partial 16S ribosomal RNA". It matches the Rfam family "Bacterial small subunit ribosomal RNA", at positions 505 to 796 of the family's 1533-position model. The record is from RNAcentral.